UUCCUCUCCGGCACCGCACGGUUCAGCCCAAAUCAGAACCGAGCUCAGCGUCGAAGGCAGACGGACGGAGGAGACGAGCGGGGGGGAGGGGGCACUCGGGGAUUAACAAGCCGUCCUUGGCGCAUCUCCUCCGGGUGCGCUUGGUUUUGGAUCGCGGCGCCUCCUCGGAGCCGGAGGAGCCACAGCAGGAGGUUCGGAGCGGAGGAGACCGAGUGUAUGGAGGCUGGCGGCACAGACAGCGUGCCCCCCGGCCAGGAGAGCUGGGACCCCGCCCGGCCACAGCUUCCUGCCUCAGCUGACGGUCACAGCUGUCACCCAGGAGGAAGAUAAGAGAUUCCUGAAGUGUCAAAAAAAGGAUGAAGAAAAAAUAAAAAAUGUAAGACAAGUUGGAGCCAAAAUAACAAUAAAUUAAAGGAAUAACCAAUGGAGUGAUAACAUUAGUGGAUUUCCCAUGAAAGAGAAGAAACAAAGGAAAAAAACUGGAAAAAAGGCUAAAUCAGAAGAAAGACAGACCUGGGAGAGGAAAACAACUGGAUGACCUCCAGAGCAGCAGGUUAUCCACCCUCCAAAGAUGGCGUCCAACUUUAAUGACAUUGUCAAGCAGGGCUAUGUGCGCAUGCGUAGCCGGAAACUUGGGAUUUAUCGACGCUGCUGGCUUGUGUUCAAGAAGUCAUCCAGUAAAGGACCUCGUCGUCUGGAGAAAUAUCCUGAUGAGAAGGCUGCCUUUAUCAGAGCAUAUCC
Nematolebias whitei (Rio pearlfish) is the source of this 741-nucleotide long non-coding RNA. RefSeq lists it as uncharacterized. Lineage: Eukaryota; Metazoa; Chordata; Actinopteri; Cyprinodontiformes; Rivulidae. The transcript has 3 exons. The record is from RefSeq and is a predicted model, not a curated record.